Molecule: small nucleolar RNA, 207 nt
Organism: Nematolebias whitei (Rio pearlfish)
Lineage: Eukaryota; Metazoa; Chordata; Actinopteri; Cyprinodontiformes; Rivulidae
Product: small nucleolar RNA SNORA73 family
Exons: 1
Source: RefSeq, a predicted model, not a curated record
CCGAUGUGGACAUCCAGGAGACACGUCCCCUGGCUCUGUCCUGGUGGCGUAUGGGAGCGUAGCUCUGAGCUGAGACGUACAGUCCCGUUCCACGACGUCGGACAGAAAGCUGCGUCCCCGGUGAGGACCGGCGUCCUGCAUAUUCCUACACCUUCCCAGAGUCCUUUGGGGCCGUUACUGGGGAGACAAACCAUGCAGGACACAUUG